GUUUCAGAGAGAGAUAGAACAUAUUUGAUCGCCGGUGAGGGACCUCUGACCAACGAAUGUAAUCUUCAAACUCAAGUUGCCGCCAUGGUUUUUGGUCAGAGUUUGGUAGCAAAUGAAGAGUUUUUACAUGACCUUUUACAUGUUUGGCAGAUCAAAUCCUUUACAGGCUGGUUCUCAAGCUGAGUUUUUCCGUUAGUUAUGUGAAGUGCACAAUGUUGUUAACAUGAGUUGGCUGGUGGUGUUGCUGUCAAAGUUGUCAGUCGUGAUGUUCCCUUCCAACCAUGAAAGGAG
Molecule: long non-coding RNA, 291 nt
Organism: Helianthus annuus (common sunflower)
Lineage: Eukaryota; Viridiplantae; Streptophyta; Magnoliopsida; Asterales; Asteraceae
Exons: 3
Source: RefSeq, a predicted model, not a curated record